CAACCUGUCAUUUUCUUGAAAUCGCUUUAAAGGCAGACUCAGAUAUUUGGCAGGUCAAUUGUUAAACUUGGACUAAAAAAACCCAAUCAAAAACAACAGUGGACACGCUCACCUAAGAGUCCUGAAGUGUGUUUAAUGAUUUAUUUCAAACCCUGCAAGCUGCUGCAGUUCCUUUUUUAGUUUUAUUGCAUUUUUUCCCCAACAGAGAGAGAAAAGCCACCGCAGAUUUGCGUGAUGUCCCGACUGCUCAGUCUGUAAGAGAGCAAUCAGAAGGGCUCUCACAACAAUGGGGUGCCGUGCGAUGGUGUGAGAAGAUAUCUGUCCUGUUUGGGACUUGAAUCUCUCCAGGUCUCUCCUCAGUGAUGUGUUCUGCCUCUCCAGCUGCAGCACCCUGCGGGCCAGCCUGCAUGGUGACUUGGUCCAGCUCUUGCUCCAGCUUUUCAUACGUUUCCAGCCGAGACGCCUGCUCGGCAUUCUGAGCUUGCAGCUCCGUCGCCCGCUUCUCUGAUGACGUCUGCAGCCUGUAAAACUCCUGGGUCAGGAGCUGAGGGACAAGAGGAGAGGAGAGAAAGUGA
Molecule: long non-coding RNA, 575 nt
Organism: Scomber japonicus (chub mackerel)
Lineage: Eukaryota; Metazoa; Chordata; Actinopteri; Scombriformes; Scombridae
Exons: 3
Source: RefSeq, a predicted model, not a curated record